Molecule: transfer RNA, 72 nt
Filed under: Bos taurus (domestic cattle)
Lineage: Eukaryota; Metazoa; Chordata; Mammalia; Artiodactyla; Bovidae
Also listed under: 2 other names
Rfam family: tRNA
About the family: Transfer RNA (tRNA) molecules are approximately 80 nucleotides in length. Their secondary structure includes four short double-helical elements and three loops (D, anti-codon, and T loops).
Source: Rfam by way of RNAcentral
UCCCUGGUGGCUCAGCUGGUAAAGAACCUGCCUGCAAUGCAGAAGAUCCUGGUUUGAUUCCAGGGUAGGGAA